UGGGGAAUAUUGCACAAUGGGCGCAAGCCUGAUGCAGCCAUGCCGCGUGUAUGAAGAAGGCCUUCGGGUUGUAAAGUACUUUCAGCGUGGAGGAAGGGAGUAAAGUUAAUACCUUUGCUCAUUGACGUUACCCGCAGAAGAAGCACCGGCUAACUCCGUGCCAGCAGCCGCGGUAAUACGGAGGGUGCAAGCGUUAAUCGGAAUUACUGGGCGUAAAGCGCACGUAGGCGGUUUGUUAAGUCAGAUGUGAAAUCCCCGGGCUCAACCUGGGAACUGCAUCUGAUACUGGCAAGCUUGAGUCUCGUAGAGGGGGGUAGAAUUCCAGGUGUAGCGAUGACAUGCGUAGAGAUCUGGAGGAAUAACGGUGGCGAAGGCGGCCACCUGGACGAAGACUGACGCUCAGGUGCGAAAGCGUGGGGAGCAAACAGG
RNAcentral lists this ribosomal RNA (429 nucleotides) under Chloroflexota bacterium. RNAcentral's name for it is "Chloroflexi bacterium partial 16S ribosomal RNA". It matches the Rfam family "Bacterial small subunit ribosomal RNA", at positions 355 to 776 of the family's 1533-position model. Lineage: Bacteria; Bacillati; Chloroflexota. The record is from RNAcentral.